GACGAACGCUGGCGGCGUGCUUAACACAUGCAAGUCGAACGGAAAGGCCCUGCUUUUGUGGUGUGCUCGAGUGGCGAACGGGUGAGUAACACGUGAGUAACCUGCCCUUGACUUUGGGAUAACUUCAGGAAACUGGGGCUAAUACCGGAUAGGAGCUCCUGCUGCAUGGUGGGGGUUGGAAAGUUUCGGCGGUUGGGGAUGGACUCGCGGCUUAUCAGCUUGUUGGUGGGGUAGUGGCUUACCAAGGCUUUGACGGGUAGCCGGCCUGAGAGGGUGACCGGGCACAUUGGGACUGAGAUACGGCCCAGACGCCUACGGGAGACAGAAGUGGGGAAUAUUGCACAAUGGGCGGAAGCCUGAGGCAGAAACGCCGCGUGCGGGAUGACGGCCUUCGGGUUGUAAACCGCUUUCGCCUGUGACGAAGCGUGAGUGACGGUAAUGGGUAAAGAAGCACCGGCUAACUACGUG
Molecule: ribosomal RNA, 468 nt
Filed under: uncultured bacterium
Lineage: Bacteria
Description: partial 16S ribosomal RNA
Rfam family: Bacterial small subunit ribosomal RNA
Source: RNAcentral